GGAAUAUCAAGACAAAAAUGAAAGCUGCUAACUUAUCAUUAUAGCGGUUAAAAUCCGUUUAUAUUCCU
This 68-nucleotide transfer RNA is filed under the name Allacta transversa. RNAcentral describes it as "tRNA-Ser". Lineage: Eukaryota; Metazoa; Arthropoda; Insecta; Blattodea; Pseudophyllodromiidae. The record is from RNAcentral.